UACGGAGGGAGCUAGCGUUAUUCGGAAUUACUGGGCGUAAAGCGCACGUAGGCGGCUUUGUAAGUAAGAGGUGAAAGCCUGGAGCUCAACUCCAGAAUUGCCUUUUAGACUGCAUCGCUUGAAUCAUGGAGAGGUGAGUGGAAUUCCGAGUGUAGAGGUGAAAUUCGUAGAUAUUCGGAAGAACACCAGUGGCGAAGGCGGCUCACUGGACAUGUAUUGACGCUGAGGUGCGAAAAGCGUGGGGGAGCAAACAGG
RNAcentral lists this ribosomal RNA (255 nucleotides) under uncultured bacterium. Its description in RNAcentral is "partial 16S ribosomal RNA". It matches the Rfam family "Bacterial small subunit ribosomal RNA", at positions 524 to 776 of the family's 1533-position model. The record is from RNAcentral.